This 305-nucleotide ribosomal RNA is filed under the name uncultured bacterium. RNAcentral's name for it is "bacterial SSU rRNA". It matches the Rfam family "Bacterial small subunit ribosomal RNA", at positions 335 to 654 of the family's 1533-position model. The record is from RNAcentral.
GUUCCUACGGGAGGCAGCAGUGGGGAAUAUUGGGCAAUGGGCGAAAGCCUGACCCAGCAAUGCCGCGUGAAUGAAGAAGGUCUUAGGAUUGUAAAAUUCUGUCCUAUGGGAAGAAACAAAUGACGGUACCAUAGGAGGAAGCUCCGGCUAACUCCGUGCCAGCAGCCGCGGUAAUACGGAGGGUGCGAGCGUUAAUCGGAAUUACUGGGCGUAAAGCGCUCGUAGGCGGUAUGUCAAGUCAAGGGUGAAAUCCCCGCGCUCAACGUGGGAACUGCCUUUGAAACUGGCAAACUGGAGUGUGUGAG